Dipodomys spectabilis (banner-tailed kangaroo rat) is the source of this 1013-nucleotide long non-coding RNA. RefSeq lists it as uncharacterized. The transcript has 5 exons. Lineage: Eukaryota; Metazoa; Chordata; Mammalia; Rodentia; Heteromyidae. The record is from RefSeq and is a predicted model, not a curated record.
AGCUUCCUGUCCCGCCCCGUCACGCUCGCGGCGCUCGGGGCUGCUCCGGGGGUCCCGGCGGCUCGGCCUCGGCUGCCGGGUGACCUUCGCUGACCUCGCGGCGUCGGGAGGACACCGCGGAGCCGGGGGCGGCCAUGGCUGGCGCUCUACCACUUGAACCACAAUUCCAACUUCUGGCUUUUUGGUAAUUUGAGAGUCUCACAGGCUUUUCUUCGCAGCCUGAUUUCGAACCGGUGACUAAAGAUUUCAUCCUCCAACCCCCCCCCCCCCCCCCCAUUGUAUCGGGCCAUUUGAACCCACGGCAGCGGGGGCAAGGACAUCCUACUGGCAUGUGGUCUCCACCCCCAAAGUGAGGAGCACGCGCUGGUCUUUCUAGAGAGGAGCCCAACCUAGGAGAAAGAAGGAGGCUGUGACCUUCGAUGAUGUGUUUGUCAACUUCACCCUGGAGGAGUGGGCUCUGCUGGAUGCAGCCCAGCAGCAGCUGUACAGAGACAUGAUGGUGGAGACCUUCCGGAACCUGGCCUCCAUACGUAAGGACCACUUCCUUCCCUGACCUGCUCACUCAGGGAGCGAGGCACUGUUCUCCCGUGCUGCUCAGUCAUGUGGAAUGUGGGAUGAGAACAUUUGGGUAAACCUGCCAGACAUGCUCGUGUCACACCAUGAAUGUAACUGGAAUCUCGUGAUUACUCUGUAAAGACAUCAUCAUUUGUAAUGAUGUUCUAGAUCUACAUUGUAGAACAAGAAAGGGAAGACCAGACCAUUGAAGAGGUAUGCUAAAGUCCCAGGAGAUAACUAAGGAAAUGUUCUCCAAAAAUGGAUUUAGGUAGAACCACCAUAAUCUGCAAAUCCAAAAUGUUUUAACAUUGGAAGCCUCUGGACCUCCAGUCUUUUGCCAAAAACAACGAUUUCUGAUGCUUUAAGGGUUUAAGAUUUAUGAAGACUUGCUGGGCACCAGUGGUCACACCUGUAAUCCUAGCUAGUCAGGAGGCUGAGACUUAAUGAUUGCAGUUCAA